RNAcentral lists this ribosomal RNA (253 nucleotides) under uncultured bacterium. RNAcentral describes it as "partial 16S ribosomal RNA". It matches the Rfam family "Bacterial small subunit ribosomal RNA", at positions 524 to 776 of the family's 1533-position model. The record is from RNAcentral.
UACGAAGGGGGCUAGCGUUGUUCGGAAUUACUGGGCGUAAAGGGCUCGUAGGCGGCCAACUAAGUCAUACGUGAAAUCCCUCAGCUUAGCUGGGGAACUGCGUCUGAUACUGGUUGGCUUGAGUUUGGGAGAGGGAUGCGGAAUUCCAGGUGUAGCGGUGAAAUGCGUAGAUAUCUGGAGGAACACCGGUGGCGAAGGCGGCAUCCUGGACCAACACUGACGCUGAGGAGCGAAAGCCAGGGGAGCAAACGGG